Oryza sativa Japonica Group (Japanese rice) is the source of this 1959-nucleotide non-coding RNA. The record is from RefSeq and is a predicted model, not a curated record. NCBI's taxonomy places the organism in Eukaryota, Viridiplantae, Streptophyta, Magnoliopsida, Poales, Poaceae.
UAUCGGUAAUUAAAUAUAUCUAAGUUUGGAUUCCUUUGGAGGCUUUCUCGCUUUCGACCCAGCUGCGGCCUGCGGGAGGCGUCCCCAUUGCCGUAAAAAAGAAAGAAGAGAAAAGAAAAGGGUAGGAGAAAGAAACCGCCGCCGCCGCCGCCGCCGCCGCCAUGACUCCCGCCGAUGCCUUCCUCAUCCUCGACUUCCUCGCCGGCAACCGCCUCAUCCCCCACUCCGUCUUCACCACCCUCCUCGCCUCCCUCCCAUCCGUCUCGCCCCACACCUCUCCUCGCCUCCGCGCAGGCCUCGCUCUCCGCGCUCUCGACUCCGCCCUCUCGAUCUCGGAGUCGUCGGAGAUGGACGCCCCCACCCUCCUGCGCAAGGCGCGGGCUGUCCUCGCGGAUCCAGACCUUGCCCCCUUCUUUCCGCAGCACCUCGCUGCACCCGCCUCUGCCGACGACGCCCCGGCCGCCGCCGUGGCUCACCUCAACCGCCUUCUCGACGUUGAGUGGGCGAGCCUCCCUCCUUCCUCGCUCGAGAUCGCGGCCGAACGGAUCGUUGGCUCUCAAGCCCUCCAUUCGUGGGCAAAUGCCGACCACGCCCAACGUUCAAAGCUUCGUCUACUCGUAGGAGAGUCCACAGCGCUUGAGAUUUUAGACACGCUUCAACGGCCGGAUGCAUCCACAAAUCAUCCAGGAACGCUGCCUCAAGUUGAUAAUGCACCGGAAACAAACGGUGCUUCUCAUUGUGCUCAACAAAACGAUGGGGCCAAGAGCGGUCUUGUUAAACAAAAUGCUGAAGCCGAUCGUCCUCAACAAGAUAGCACUCGACAUCAACAAGACUCGGUGCAAGGAGCAUCCAAUUCCCAACUUAAAGAAAGUUCAGUAACAAUGGAAUCUAUUAGAGGCACGGGUCCUGAUAUCACAGGCUUUAUGGAAGAAGCUACACCUCGUGUUGCUGGACAGUUUGCCCCUGACAACAUCAAGAACCAUCAAGUCACAGGUUCUAAGCGCAGUUUAAUGGAGAGGAAUCCGACUGCCAGCACUUAUGAGUGGGAUGGCAGCGAUUCCGAAGGGAAAAGGCCUGCAGCAAAGCGCCGGUUACCCAUUUUUGAAAGGACAGCAAAACCUUCUCCUACAGCUGCACAUAAGACGAGAAAAAAGUGGAGCGAGAAACAAGAAAAAACCUUGCUGGAAGGGGUGGAGAAUCGGAUGUGCUUUGAGACGUGUGCAGGUGUGAUGGGGUAAAAAACAACUUUGGGUUGAUCGCACGCAACCCACUGAGCUACCCACCUUUUGUGACUUACACAUCACUUGCACCCUGGUUAUAUUGUAAUUACAUGCUAAUUACAUACAUUUGACAGAUUUUUUUUUGGGGUCUGUCGAAUGUGGAAGUUCCUUCUUGGUUUGGUUGCUCUAUGAUGGUAUUGAUCCAUUGAGUAUGAUGAGUUUUCAUUGUUAACAUAGGUAUGGAAAAGGCAACUGGAAAGAUAUCAAAAUGGCAUACCCUGAUGUAUUUGAAGAUAGAUCGACAGUAGAUUUGAAGGAUAAAUUCAGAAAUUUGGAAAGGCAUCUAUGCGCUUGAGGCGUGCCUACUUUAGGAGGAAUUGUUAUGGUAUAUAUAUAGCGACUUGAAGUUAGCUAUGCCAAAGCAGACGCAUUCUGUAGUCCUGGAUGGAUGAUGGUAGCUAUGUUUAUAGUGCCUUUUUUGGUUGUGAUUUUGUGAAGUGUAGCCAGCUAGUUUUAUUUGGUCGGCUAUCCUUGUUUUGUUUUGUACAGGAUAGAGGAGCGAUAUCGGUGGGGAACUUCCUGCUCUGAACGCUUAUUUUCUAUCUUCUAUCUUCAUGGCUAUCCUUGUUUUGUUUUGUACAGGAUAGAGGAGCGAUGUCGGUGGGAACUUCCUGCUCUGAACGCUUAUUUUCUAUCUUCUAUCUUCAUGUGUCUGUAUUGUUGUUUGUCCUUGCUACAA